This 849-nucleotide ribosomal RNA is filed under the name Alternaria argyranthemi. RNAcentral's name for it is "eukaryotic LSU rRNA". It matches the Rfam family "Eukaryotic large subunit ribosomal RNA", at positions 68 to 935 of the family's 3401-position model. The record is from RNAcentral. Lineage: Eukaryota; Fungi; Ascomycota; Dothideomycetes; Pleosporales; Pleosporaceae.
ACAGGGAUUGCCCUAGUAACGGCGAGUGAAGCGGCAACAGCUCAAAUUUGAAAUCUGGCUCUUUUAGAGUCCGAGUUGUAAUUUGCAGAGGGCGCUUUGGCUUUGGCAGCGGUCCAAGUUCCUUGGAACAGGACGUCACAGAGGGUGAGAAUCCCGUACGUGGUCGCUGGCUAUUGCCGUGUAAAGCCCCUUCGACGAGUCGAGUUGUUUGGGAAUGCAGCUCUAAAUGGGAGGUACAUUUCUUCUAAAGCUAAAUAUUGGCCAGAGACCGAUAGCGCACAAGUAGAGUGAUCGAAAGAUGAAAAGCACUUUGGAAAGAGAGUCAAACAGCACGUGAAAUUGUUGAAAGGGAAGCGCUUGCAGCCAGACUUGCUUGCAGUUGCUCAUCCGGGCUUUUGCCCGGUGCACUCUUCUGUAGGCAGGCCAGCAUCAGUUUGGGCGGUAGGAUAAAGGUCUCUGUCACGUACCUCUCUUCGGGGAGGCCUUAUAGGGGAGGCGACAUACUACCAGCCUGGACUGAGGUCCGCGCAUCUGCUAGGAUGCUGGCGUAAUGGCUGUAAGCGGCCCGUCUUGAAACACGGACCAAGGAGUCUAACAUCUAUGCGAGUGUUUGGGUGUCAAGCCCGAGCGCGUAAUGAAAGUGAACGGAGGUGGGAACCCGCAAGGGUGCACCAUCGACCGAUCCUGAUGUCUUCGGAAGGAUUUGAGUAAGAGCAUGGCUGUUGGGACCCGAAAGAUGGUGAACUAUGCUUGAAUAGGGUGAAGCCAGAGGAAACUCUGGUGGAGGCUCGCAGCGGUUCUGACGUGCAAAUCGAUCGUCAAAUUUGGGCAUAGGGGCGAAAGACUAAU